Molecule: ribosomal RNA, 497 nt
Filed under: uncultured bacterium
Lineage: Bacteria
Description: partial 16S ribosomal RNA
Rfam family: Bacterial small subunit ribosomal RNA
Source: RNAcentral
GAUGAACGCUGGCGGCGUGCCUAAUACAUGCAAGUCGAGCGAACAGACGAGGAGCUUGCUCCUCUGACGUUAGCGGCGGACGGGUGAGUAACACGUGGAUAACCUACCUAUAAGACUGGGAUAACUUCGGGAAACCGGAGCUAAUACCGGAUAAUAUAUUGAACCGCAUGGUUCAAUAGUGAAAGACGGUUUUGCUGUCACUUAUAGAUGGAUCCACGCCGCAUUAGCUAGUUGGUAAGGUAACGGCUUACCAAGGCAACGAUGCGUAGCCGACCUGAGAGGGAGAUCGGCCACACUGGAACUGAGCCACGGUCCACACUCCUACGGGAGGCAGCAGUAGGGAAUCUUCCGCAAUGGGCGAAAGCCUGACGGAGCAACGCCGCGUGAGUGAUGAAGGUCUUCGGAUCGUAAAACUCUGUUAUUAGGGAAGAACAAAUGUGUAAGUAACUAUGCACGUCUUGACGGUACCUAAUCAGAAAGCCACGGCUAACUACGUG